AGCUCAAAUUUAAAAUCUGGCAGUCUUUGAUUGUCCGAGUUGUAAUUUAGAGAAGUGUUACCCGUGCUGGACCGUGUACAAGUCUCCUGGAAUGGAGCGUCAUAGAGGGUGAGAAUCCCGUCUUUGACACGGACUCCCAGUGCAUUGUGGUAUGCUCUCAAAGAGUCGAGUUGUUUGGGAAUGCAGCUCUAAAUGGGUGGUAAAUUCCAUCUAAAGCUAAAUAUUGGCGAGAGACCGAUAGCGAACAAGUACCGUGAGGGAAAGAUGAAAAGAACUUUGGAAAGAGAGUUAAACAGUACGUGAAAUUGCUGAAAGGGAAACGCUUGAAGUCAGUCGCGUUGGCUAGGGAUCAACCUUGCUUUUAGUGGGGUGUACUUCCUAGUUGACGGGUCAGCAUCAGUUUUGACCACUGGAAAAAGGCUUUGGGAAUGUGGCAACUCCGGUUGUGUUAUAGCCCAUUGUCGUAUACAGUGGUUGGGACUGAGGAACUCAGCACGCCGCAAGGCCGGGAUUCGUCCACGUUCGUGCUUAGGAUGCUGGCAUAAUGGCUCUAAGCGACCCGUCUUGAAACACGGACCAAGGAGUCUAACAUGCUUGCGAGUGUUUGGGUGGUAAACCCGAGCGCGUAAUGAAAGUGAAAGUUGGGAUCUCUGUCGUGGAGAGCACCGACGCCCGGACCUGAUGUUUACUGACGGAUCUGCGGUAGAGCACGUAUGUUGGGACCCGAAAGAUGGUGAACUAUGCCUGAAUAGGGUGAAGCCAGAGGAAACUCUGGUGGAGGCUCGUAGCGAUUCUGACGUGCAAAUCGAUCGUCAAAUUUGGGUAUAGGGGCGAAAGACUAAUCGAACCAUCUAGUAGCUGGUUCCUGCCGAAGUUUCCCUCAGGAUAGCAGAAGCUCAUUGUCAGAUUUAUGUGGUAAAGCGAAUGAUUAGAGGCCUUGGGGUUGUAACAACCUUAACCUAUUCUCAAACUUUAAAUAUGUAAGAACGAGCUGUCUCUUAGUUGGACCGCUCGGCGAUUGACGAGUUUCUAGUGGGCCAUUUUUGGUAAGCAGAACUGGCGAUGCGGGAUGAACCGAACGCGAGGUUAAGGUGCCGGAAUUCACGCUCAUCAGACACUACAAAAGGUGUUAGUUCAUCUAGACAGCAGGACGGUGGCCAUGGAAGUCGGAAUCCGCUAAGGAGUGUGUAACAACUCACCUGCCGAAUGAACUAGCCCUGAAAAUGGAUGGCGCUUAAGCGUGAUACCCAUACCUCGCCGUCAGCGUUGAAGUGACGCGCUGACGAGUAGGCAGGCGUGGAGGUCGGUGAAGAAGCCUUGGCAGUGAUGCUGGGUGGAACGGCCUCUAGUGAG
This 1353-nucleotide ribosomal RNA is filed under the name Crinipellis podocarpi. RNAcentral describes it as "LSU rRNA". It matches the Rfam family "Eukaryotic large subunit ribosomal RNA", at positions 106 to 1446 of the family's 3401-position model. Lineage: Eukaryota; Fungi; Basidiomycota; Agaricomycetes; Agaricales; Marasmiaceae. The record is from RNAcentral.